This 253-nucleotide ribosomal RNA is filed under the name uncultured bacterium. Its description in RNAcentral is "partial 16S ribosomal RNA". It matches the Rfam family "Bacterial small subunit ribosomal RNA", at positions 524 to 776 of the family's 1533-position model. The record is from RNAcentral.
UACGUAUGGUGCAAGCGUUAUCCGGAUUUACUGGGUGUAAAGGGAGCGCAGGCGGCACGGCAAGCCUGAUGUGAAAGCCCGCGGCCCAACCGCGGGACUGCAUAGGGAACUACCGGGCUGGAGUGCCGGAGAGGUAGGCGGAAUUCCUAGUGUAGCGGUGAAAUGCGUAGAUAUUAGGAGGAACACCAGUGGCGAAGGCGGCCUACUGGACGGUGACUGACGCUGAGGCUCGAAAGCGUGGGGAGCAAACAGG